RNAcentral lists this ribosomal RNA (218 nucleotides) under Scomberomorus maculatus (Spanish mackerel). RNAcentral's name for it is "partial small subunit ribosomal RNA". It matches the Rfam family "Bacterial small subunit ribosomal RNA", at positions 492 to 794 of the family's 1533-position model. The record is from RNAcentral. Lineage: Eukaryota; Metazoa; Chordata; Actinopteri; Scombriformes; Scombridae.
GUCGGUAAAACUCGUGCCAGCCACCGCGGUUAUACGAGAGGCCCAAGUUGACAAACUCCGGCGUAAAGCGUGGUUAAGGCAUACUCUAAAACUAAAGCCGAAUAUCUUCAGAGCAGUCAUACGCAUCCGAAGACACGAAGCCCCACCACGAAAGUGGCUUUAUGACCCCUGACCCCACGAAAGCUAGGACACAAACUGGGAUUAGAUACCCCACUAUG